CAGUCGAACGGGGUAUAUAAGCGGAAGUUUACGGAUGGAAGGUUAUAUACUUAGUGGCGGACGGGUGAGUAACGCGUGGGCAACCUGCCCCGUGCCGGGGGAUACCGCCUGGAAACAGGCGCUAAUACCGCAUAAGCGCAUACAGCCGCAUGGCAGUAUGCGGAAAGCUCCGGCGGCACGGGAUGGGCCCGCGCCCGAUUAGCCAGUUGGCGGGGUAACGGCCCACCAAAGCGACGAUCGGUAGCCGGCCUGAGAGGGCGGACGGCCACAUUGGGACUGAGACACGGCCCAAACUCCUACGGGAGGCAGCAGUGGGGAAUAUUGCACAAUGGGGGAAACCCUGAUGCAGCAACGCCGCGUGGGUGAAGGAGCGUUUCGGCGCGUAAAGCCCUGUCAGCGGGGAAGAAGAAAGACGGUACCCGACCAAGAAGCCCCGGCUAACUACGUGCCAGCAGCCGCGGUAAUACGGAGGAUCCGAGCGUUAUCCGGAUUUAUUGGGUUUAAAGGGAGCGUAGGUGGAUUGUUAAGUCAGUUGUGAAAGUUUGCGGCUCAACCGUAAAAUUGCAGUUGAAACUGGCAGUCUUGAGUACAGUAGAGGUGGGCGGAAUUCGUGGUGUAGCGGUGAAAUGCUUAGAUAUCACGAAGAACUCCGAUUGCGAAGGCAGCUCACUGGACUGCAACUGACACUGAGGCUCGAAAGUGUGGGUAUCAAACAGGAUUAGAUACCCUGGUAGUCCACACAGUAAACGAUGAAUACUCGCUGUUUGCGAUAUACGGCAAGCGGCCAAGCGAAAGCAUUAAGUAUUCCACCUGGGGAGUAC
RNAcentral lists this ribosomal RNA (821 nucleotides) under uncultured bacterium. Its description in RNAcentral is "bacterial SSU rRNA". It matches the Rfam family "Bacterial small subunit ribosomal RNA", at positions 59 to 883 of the family's 1533-position model. The record is from RNAcentral.